GCUUUAUAUUGUUACUUCAAAAAACAUUGCUUUAUAUUGAGCUACUGAUCAACUUCUUUUUCUUGUUUGAUUCUCCUUUUUUUUGUUAUUUUUAGGUAACCUAGAGGAUGCAAGGUUACUACAUGAUUCAGUUUGCUGCUACCAACAGGAAGUUGAUGUGACUGUUUUAGCACCGUGUGUUUGCAAUACUAUAAGUUGGUGUGUUUGCUCAUUUGUGUUUGUGUGUUUUUGGAUAUGCUGCAAGAAGGCCGUUUCCCAGAGGUUCUCUUGUCAGGUGACCUCUAAAAUGCAUGGUUGCUACAUCAGUUGGCUGCCUACCAGAUUGGUGGCAUCACAAUGUUUGAUUAAUUACUUAUCGCUGCAUAUUUCCAAAUAAUAUAUAUUGGCGUGUCUGUUUUUAUGUGGCUUGGAGCUGCUACUUGCUUGUAUUAUCCAUCUGUUCACCGGACCAGUGCCUGGCCAGUGCGAAUGCCGUUGUUAAUGUUCCAACUCAAUCCGAGUUUGCUUGCUAUGUAGGAGUAUUUGAAAUAAGAAGCUAGGUCUGAUUGUGCACACAAGAACCUAGUAGUGGUGUGUGAUUUGUGGGGUGAACGACUUCCUGUUAAUUAUGUAUGGAAUUGAUGAUUGUAUUCUGUUUGAACAAGUUAACGUACUAUGUUGUGUGUGUUUUAUGACGUUUUUUUAUUUAUGUUACUACUCCCUCCAA
Long non-coding RNA from Brachypodium distachyon (stiff brome), 706 nucleotides. RefSeq lists it as uncharacterized. NCBI's taxonomy places the organism in Eukaryota, Viridiplantae, Streptophyta, Magnoliopsida, Poales, Poaceae. The record is from RefSeq and is a predicted model, not a curated record. The transcript has 2 exons.